This 596-nucleotide long non-coding RNA is filed under the name Bos indicus x Bos taurus (hybrid cattle). RNAcentral's name for it is "lncRNA (ENSBIXG00005030047.1)". Lineage: Eukaryota; Metazoa; Chordata; Mammalia; Artiodactyla; Bovidae. The record is from RNAcentral.
CUCCCCUGACCCAUCCAGGGACUGAGAGAGAGCGGUGUAUUCCUGCCUUGUCGUCCCACAGACCACCAGACUUCCCACAAAGAGCCCUCACGGGACUGCCUCAAGGGUUGCCUGACACCAGCCAGCCUUGAACUUGGUCCUGCUCCCGCCACAACAGGGACCUGGGGGCUCAGCCCAGCGUGUGCACUGUGGACCACAGCCUGCCUGACAGCCAAGGCUUCGUUCCAGGCAUCACCCGAAUCCGCGGGGCGGAGAUUCCUCCAACAAUCUCCCCGCCUAGGCCAGGAUCCCACCCGGGGACCGCGUGUUUUCGCUCCUUUCUUGCUCCUGGAGCCGGCUCCUCGCGGGACCCGCCAUGCUUUCAAGCCCAGAGGUUACGGGCAGUGAAAUACCAGGGUUUAUUGCUGUGAGUUUGGAACAUGAAUUUUUUGAGCAAUGCCGUCUGGGGUUCUGAUCUGUGUCUGGCUGUGUGACCUUGACCAGGUGUCUGCACCUCUCUGAGCUCCUGAUUGCUCAUCUGUGAAGUGGGCUAAUGAUCUCAACACUCAGGUUCCUUUGGAGGACUGAAUGUGAGACUGUUAGGGGAACUACUGUGG